GACGAACGCUGGCGGCGUGCCUAAUACAUGCAAGUAGAACGCUGAAGGAGGAGCUUGCUUCUCCGGAUGAGUUGCGAACGGGUGAGUAACGCGUAGGUAACCUGCCUGGUAGCGGGGGAUAACUAUUGGAGACGAUAGCUAAUACCGCAUAACAGUAGAUGUUGCAUGACAUUUGCUUAAAAGGUGCAAUUGCAUCACUACCAGAUGGACCUGCGUUGUAUUAGCUAGUUGGUGAGGUAACGGCUCACCAAGGCGACGAUACAUAACCGACCUGAGAGGGUGAUCGGCCACACUGGGACUGAGACACGGCCCAGACUCCUACGGGAGGCAGCAGUAGGGAAUCUUCGGCAAUGGACGGAAGUCUGACCGAGCAACGCCGCGUGAGUGAAGAAGGUUUUCGGAUCGUAAAGCUCUGUUGUAAGAGAAGAACGAGUGUGAGAGUGGAAAGUUCACACUGUGACGGUAUCUUACCAGAAAGGGACGGCUAACUACGUG
RNAcentral lists this ribosomal RNA (495 nucleotides) under uncultured bacterium. RNAcentral's name for it is "partial 16S ribosomal RNA". It matches the Rfam family "Bacterial small subunit ribosomal RNA", at positions 28 to 507 of the family's 1533-position model. The record is from RNAcentral.